RNAcentral lists this long non-coding RNA (1341 nucleotides) under Bemisia tabaci. RNAcentral describes it as "lncRNA ENSSSA1UGG010233". The record is from RNAcentral. Lineage: Eukaryota; Metazoa; Arthropoda; Insecta; Hemiptera; Aleyrodidae.
AUGAAUGGGAAGACAAUGUCUUGUUCUUUUACUGAAGCUGAUGCUCUCUCAGGCUUAGAUGAUGCCGGCGAGUAUUGUGAGAAUGCUGGAUUGGCCUUUUUUGAAGUUGCUUCAACGAUAACUUCACGCUUAAAUGGCUUGUUGAAUAUUGCACCUGCUAUCCGGUCAAACACGGACAACUCCCAAGAACAAGUUCUUGAGACGAGAUUGAAGCACGGUAUGGAUUUGCGUGCUGUUGAAAUUGCGGUGAAAGCUACUCAAGAUCUUGACGUCUUCGACGUUUCUGCUCCGAUCGAACUAUGCCACAUGAUCAUAAGGGUUCCCCGCCGGAAUUUCAUACCUCAAUACGUUGCAGUAUUUUAUUGCUUCUCACCGGCACUCUGGGUAUUCGUUAUCGUAACAUUCGUAGUUUUUACCAUGGUCCACAUCGUAUGCGUUAAAAUAGAAGGAGGAGGCUUCCCUAUCCUAUACCCUGAGCGAGAACUACCAGAUCACGAAUAUCUAUCCACGGCACUGGCUAUAGUAAGAUAUACUCUGGGGAUAAGCCAGCCCCAGAUAUUCCUGGUGGAAUUCAUCACAGGAAAAAUAGUCUUUCUUAUUUUUGUGUUCUCGACACUAGUUUUGUCGACCCUCUUCCAGAGCGGGAUGGUGACCAUGCUGAGUAUGAGGAUUCGUUACGAUGACAUCGACACUCUGAAAGAAGUCGCAGAAUCCGAUUUGGCCAUAGAAUCCACCAGUAUAGACUUAGAUAUGAGCUUCCUCGGCGAAAAUGCGCAGUUUGAUUGGCUCCGACAAAAAAUGACCGUUGGCUUGCGGUUCAGGUGUGAGAACAGAUACUGCGGUAUGGAAUCGGAUUUCGCGCUUUUCGACUCGAACGAGUCUGACCUCAAAACGAACGACAUCGGUAGGUAUGAUAGAGAGGUUCUCACGAUAUUGGAGUCUCGCGCUAUUUUAACGAGAUCCAUGUCCAUAUUUUCCAGAUUUAACAAUCGGAUAUUCUAUGAUCGAAGGACUGGAGAUCUCUUCGAGUUCCAUGACGUGUCCGAGAAAGUCUUGAGCUAUCCGCUCAUGUUUUUUAUCUCGAGGAGGUCGUUCUACCGGGAGGUUUUCAAUGAUGCUCUGGCCCGUUUUGUCGAGGGUGGGAUUUUUUGUAAACGUAUGGCGAUACAUCAUACCGAGUUUAAAGAAAACUUCGCAGUGGCAGAGGCAGAGGGGAGUGGGGAUGAGCCAAGGCCGUAUUCUAUGAUAGAUUUGAGGAUAGCUUUCAUCUGUCUCUGUGUAGGGUUGUUGCUGAGUAUCUGCGUAUUUGUUGCGGAACUCUUCGCCCAGCUAUCUGAUUAA